Molecule: ribosomal RNA, 497 nt
Filed under: uncultured bacterium
Lineage: Bacteria
Description: partial 16S ribosomal RNA
Rfam family: Bacterial small subunit ribosomal RNA
Source: RNAcentral
GAUGAACGCUGGCGGCGUGCCUAAUACAUGCAAGUCGAGCGAACGGACGAGAAGCUUGCUUCUCUGACGUUAGCGGCGGACGGGUGAGUAACACGUGGAUAACCUACCUAUAAGACUGGGAUAACUUCGGGAAACCGGAGCUAAUACCGGAUGAUAUUUUGAACCGCAUGGUUCAAAAGUGAAAGACGGUUUUGCUGUCACUUAUAGAUGGAUCCGCGCUGCAUUAGCUAGUUGGUAAGGUAACGGCUUACCAAGGCAACGAUGCGUAGCCGACCUGAGAGGGUGAUCGGCCACACUGGAACUGAGACACGGUCCAGACUCCUACGGGAGGCAGCAGUAGGGAAUCUUCCGCAAUGGGCGAAAGCCUGACGGAGCAACGCCGCGUGAGUGAUGAAGGUCUUCGGAUCGUAAAACUCUGUUAUUAGGGAAGAACAUAUGUGUAAGUAACUAUGCACAUCUUGACGGUACCUAAUCAGAAAGCCACGGCUAACUACGUG